Molecule: long non-coding RNA, 20174 nt
Filed under: Triticum aestivum (bread wheat)
Lineage: Eukaryota; Viridiplantae; Streptophyta; Magnoliopsida; Poales; Poaceae
Description: long non-coding RNA (TAES_LNC011787)
Rfam family: Small nucleolar RNA Z247 (bases 19402-19479)
Source: RNAcentral
CGCUGAUCUCCGAGAAUUACGACUUACUACCAUGUACUAGAACCGUAACCAGUAAGUAGCUCAUGCAAGUGAAGUCUAGGAAACCAUGUUCCUUCGCACAUUGAUUAGUGCCGUACUGACCUUUUUGUCUGGCUUGCCCGUUUGUAAUGUAAGCUGCCCGUAGUAUAUCAACCAACCAACGCAAUUCCAUUAUUUAAGCUCUCGUCAUUGGCCGGCCAUAACUUCUCAUGGAUGCUCUGGAUUUGCUGCGAUCGCGAUGUAUUGGUAAUUUCCUUAUUUGACUGUCUGUUGCGAGGCACUUGUCCGAGUACAUGCGGACCAGUAGUAUAGCAAAAAGGGCAGCUUGUGCAUGGUUUGGGAAAUGGUCCGAGUACGCAGCGUUUUCCUACAUUUAUGCAAGACCCGUGACCUCAUGGUCAUAAGGCAACGACUGUACUGCUGCGCCAUGGCUCCCCUUCACCAGUAGUAUAGUAGUCAGUUACCUUCACCAGUAGUAUAGUAGUCAGUUAGAAAAAAAUGUGCUAGUCUCUCUUCUGUCAUUGUUCUUUAGUUAACUGUAUUUCAACCAUUGGAUCGGCAUCGGCCGGCUACAGAGAAGACGCGAAGUAGUACGACAGCUCCUUAAGUUGAUCAAGGGCAGUUGUCUAAUCUUCAUGUAGCGUCUGAGAUUCAACUGCGCAGCUGGCUCCUUAACUGUAAUCGAGCAUGUCUCGUUGUCAUUCUUACUUUUACAUUCAGUAACUUUCCCCCCUUUAUAUAGCUAUAGAGGAGUCCCUCGUAAUCGGGUUGUAACGUGUUUGAGAUCAAACUAUCCUCUUUGCAUUAGAUGAAGUGCUAUAUAUAGCACUGGAACAGGCAUAUUACAAGGGGGCGUCGGUUCCGUCCGAACCGACGCAAGGAUUGCAGAAAGCAACCGUCAUUACAAGCGGGGAUUAAUCUCUUAAUUACUAUGUUAAUUAAUCUUAACAGUAAACCCUAGCCGCCACUGGAGUGGUUCGCGACACUUUCCUCUUUCAACAAGAACCCUAGCUCGAUUCGGGGCUAGUUUCUUCUGAAUUCUCUGUGUGAGAUGUUUUGAAGUUGCAAGAGCUUGAAAAACGUUAGCUAGGAGUAACUCACAGUUUAGAGGGUCAGAUCUGUCCACUAAGAGUGGUCACGUAAAAGUCCUCGACCAUAUCUAUCCUCAUUUAUCUGCAUCCGCGACCACCCCCUCCCCUCAUAUCCAAACCCGCAAAAGUGUGCAAUCCCAUGCAAUGUAGACAACACGACGUAGCUAUUUUAACACAUAUGAUAGCAUCGUAGCUAAAUAUGGUAGCAUCAAACAUAGCAAGUUCCUUACAAGUUCACAAAAGAUUAGAUAGUUCGAUAAAUUAGCUAUGAUCUACAACAAAUACGAUUAGAAAGGUGUCAGAGCACCACUUCCUCAUCGGACCCAUCCCCUUUGUGUCUUCAGAGCAAUGGUAGUAGUCCUCGACGUAUGCGUAAGCCGUCGGAGGGGCGUCGUCAUUGAUGGUGGUGCUGCCGUCAUACGAGGAGUAUGACAAGGAGGAGAGCCUGGCCAGACGCUGAGAGGUGUGGGCCUGCUCCUUCGUGAACUGCCCGGACUCCUCGAGCCUGAGCCGCAAUGUCUUGGCAUUUUCACGGAGGCGACGACGGGCGUCCAUCUCUGCUGUGGUCAAUGACUGGCAGAUGAUGCCACAAAGGAGCUCCUCCUCUGAGUCGUAAGGCAGGGCAACCGACACGCUACACGACCCACAGUCGAACCGGCUAGAUACAGGCUACGCCAUCUGCCUCGCGCGACGGGCUGCCUGUGCCUCUGACUUGGGGAGCCGCGACCACGGGCUAGGCGGGGUUGGAUCCAUCGGGCGACCGGGGAAUGCGCAGAGGAUGAAGAGGAGGAGCUACCCCUACCCACCCACGGCCGGUCGAUGGCAACCCGGAUUGCGUGCUCCUCGUUUGACUCUGCCGUGAAGGUGUCUCAGUNNNNNNNNNNNNNNNNNNNNNNNNNNNNNNNNNNNNNNNNNNNNNNNNNNNNNNNNNNNNNNNNNNNNNNNNNNNNNNNNNNNNNNNNNNNNNNNNNNNNNNNNNNNNNNNNNNNNNNNNNNNNNNNNNNNNNNNNNNNNNNNNNNNNNNNNNNNNNNNNNNNNNNNNNNNNNNNNNNNNNNNNNNNNNNNNNNNNNNNNNNNNNNNNNNNNNNNNNNNNNNNNNNNNNNNNNNNNNNNNNNNNNNNNNNNNNNNNNNNNNNNNNNNNNNNNNNNNNNNNNNNNNNNNNNNNNNNNNNNNNNNNNNNNNNNNNNNNNNNNNNNNNNNNNNNNNNNNNNNNNNGAGGAGGAAGGUGGGGAAAGUGGAAGUGGUUAGGGUUUGGUCUUGGUGGGAUUUUUUCGGGGUCAAGGUGGGGUAGAGUGGGUCAGAUCGUACAUGGCCGUCGUGCCCGGACCAUCCCAAUCGUAUAUGAGGGGAGGGAGGGGGUCUGGUUGUAGAUGCUCUUAGUAAUGCACACUCGUGUGGCUUUUGAAGCAUCAUACCUGAUAUGUUAAUUGACGCGUGAGCUCCAUUGACCGGUUCUUGUCUUUCUUGUACUUGAGUAGGUGUAGUUGCAUGACCUUUAGGUGUAGCCGUGGUAGAAAUGUCCUCAUUAAUGAUGGAGUGUUGGAGCGAAAGACAUAGCAGAAGGAAAUGAUGAUACUUUUACCAUGCAAAGAAAAUACCAUGCAUGUGUAUCUACAAUUCGCCUUUACUUUGAGUUUCGUGCUAUAUUUUAUUUUUUUUGAUAAAACUAAUCUUGUUUCCGGGUACACAAUGUUUUGUUAGUUUAAAGUGUACCAACAAAAACAAAUGCAUUUGUUUGAGACUGAACUAUCUUUUUGCUUUUUGUAUUUUAUCCAUUAUCUUUUUUUUUUGCGGGUGUAUUUUAUCCAUUAUCUAUUCUCUCACCACCUAAUUUAAAGCAGCCUAGAUCAAUUUCACAAACGUGAAGUUGCUUACCACACAUACCGUGUGGUUGUUUGAGACUGAACUUACUGGUACACAACGAAAUGUUAGAAAGCAUCGGUCCUCUUAUGUUCUGUCUUCUAUGGUUUACAAUUUGCCAAACCUAGAAAACGUGAGCACGGAUCUCAAACACAACACUGGUCGGUGGAUCAAUGCAUGGAGUAUAUUUUAUCCCAUGCAAUUGCAAUGUCAUUUCUCUCCCCGCCAAGACAUAAAUCAUUUCUGGGCGGAAGUAAGUAAACGAGGAUGAUAGUAGUACGAGUAGUACAAGUCUGGCGGGCGGGAGAGAGAAGGUCCUUUUGCUUUUCUCGUGAAGCAAAAUGACCAUCGAGGUCCACUGCAACCAGUACCCAUAUAGUAUAUCUGUGUACCAUUCUCCGAAGAAUCACACCAGCAGCAGCACUACAGUCCAAUUAUCGAGCCGGCGGGCUACCCAUCCUUGACUAGACCGGAGGUGCCGUGACUUGAUCUACCUUGGCGUACCAUGCAUACGUACAACAAAUGGUGCCGAUCCGUCUGCCGCCCUGAUUGUCCCGUUCGUGGCGUCGAGAAGCGCAGGCCCUUGUUGACCGGUCGCUCGUGAACUGUUGACGCGGAGCGGUGCACCGAGGGGGACGGCAGUGGAGACGUGACCUGUUAGACUCCUCGAACGUACUCCCUCCGUUCGGAAUUACUCGUCCAAGAAAUGAAUGUAUCUAGAUGUAUUUUAGUUGUAGAUACAUCCAUUUUUGUGGCAAGUAAUUCCAAACGGAGGGAGCACGUACGCACUACUUACUUCCUAGCGACGGAACCAGGGUGCAUGACGGCACGUGGUGUGAGUGAGCCGGUCCGUCGCGGCGACGACGAGCCGCUGACCAAUGGAGCAGUAUGCAACUCCAAAUGCAUCUGUAAGACGUGCAUUUGCGACUUUCUCAAACACUAUAUAUGCUGCAUUCUAUACAGGUAUAUGUAUUUUUUUUUUCAAAUUUACUGAGACACACAAAAAAAAAAAUACUCACCCCUCAAUGUCCCGCCACAAAUGCAUGUUUUUUUUUAAUUGAAGGUGUUUCCCGUCUCAACUUUUUAUUAAAAGAUCCAAGGCCAAGUAUCGCACAUCAAAAAACAUUUCACAGCUCUCGGUCACGACAUAGAGUAGCUACGACAGAUUAUUACAAACAUGAAGGAAUUUAUAGUCUCGGGCUAAGAUAGAUAGACCCACAGGCGGAGCUCCCGGUAGGGCGAGGUUGGGCGCUCGCCCUACCUUGAUUUUUGGCGUUUCUGUUUUGUGUAUACCUAUAUAUAACGUGAUCGAUCGCUAAAAAAUAGAACGGCUUAAAAAUCAGCGUCAAACGUUUUGUCGGGCCGUGAUUACCCAACCAACUGGGCCGUAGCAAGUAGCAGGCCCCGACGCCUCGCUCGAUCCACUCUAACGAUCGUCCCCACGCCAGCUCCAGGAUCCAGAGUCGAGCGACUCCGCUUCUAGUCGACACACAAACCCUAGCAGGAAAAGGGGCGAGCUCGCACGUUCGCGGCGGCCAACCAAGCGCGCGCGUGAGGCCAACGGCCAGAAGGAGCGCGCAUGCAGACGUGGUCGUGUACUCAUGUUUCCGGCGACCAGCAGCACACUGUGCGCGUGAGGCCGGUGGCCAGUAGGAGACCAUGAACGGGAAGGGAAUAUGGCUAGCAAAGAUACUGAACAUAGGUAAUGCGGUUUUGAAUUUUAGUGUCAUUUGUUAGAUAAUGGUUUGAUAAUCUACAUAUAAUGAUUGGUGGCAUUUUUUGUGACGAAUUGCAUAUUUGAAAAUAAAAUUUUCUGGUAGUUGUUAGCCACAUCAAAAAUACACUCUCCGUUCAUAAAUGUAUAAGAUAUUUGGAUUUUUAAACAUAGACUACAUACGUACUGUAAUGACAUUAAAUAUAUCUACAUACAUUCAAUUCAAGAAAAAGCUACUAGAACAUCUUAUAUAUGUGAAUGGAUGGAGUAUGCUUAAGAGUUCGCCCCACCUUAAAAAUAAUCUGUCCUCCGCCACUGGAUAGACCAGUGCCAGGCUAUCCUAAGCAGCACCCUACAGCGAUGACCAGGCAGCCGGAGACACUGAAGAAGCCGCGUAGCUUGGGCACCGACGCAGAGCACCUCCCAAAGUCAAACCAGCGCGGCUACCGAAGCCAGGGUGAAUUUCAUACUUCGCCACCUUCGACCCUGUAAGACAAAAUUAUAGCGAAAACGCCAUAAGCCCCACAAGGUAGCAACAGUAAAGAUGGUAACAACUUCAUAUAUUUCCUUUCCUUUUAGAAAGGAACUAGGUCAUCAAAAGAACAGGGAAUUGAGAUAUUAGGAAUAUCAGCAAUCACAUUCCAAAUAUUUUUUUUUUGCAACAAUGCAAACGGAAGAUAGAUGAUGCCUAUGUUUAGCCAAGUUGUCUCAAGUGGACUCUUGUUAUUAAUAACGAGCCGCAAGAAAGCAUGUAUAUUAGAAGGAACCUCAAUCUUCCAAAUAGCAUCUUCCAGUUUAGAAGAGGAACCCAAUAUUGGGAUCUAACUGAGUAGGAACCAGAAGGUUCAAGCAACCAAAUGUGAGCAUCACUACCGGAGUUACAAUGUUUACCAAAUUAAGCAAAUCAAACAACUGACCCAUGAGCACUUCAUCAACACAUCUCCUAAAGGAUAACUUAAGAGAAGUACCAUCCCACACCGGGCAACAUAAGCAUUUUAUUGAUAAUAAAUCGCAAAUAGAUCCCAAAAUUGGGUUUUCAGAUAAACAUCAACAAGCCAAAUGUCAUGCCAAAAGGAGAUACUUUGCCCAUCAACAAUCUUCCACUUGUAAAAUCUUUUUUGCAGAAGCGAAAGCCCAUGAGUCACUUUUUCAAAAAGGAGACCCCUGUCUAGGCUUGGCCGACAAAAUGUUAGGUUUGUCAGUAACAUACUUAUAUUCCAGAAGUUUUUUUCCAAUCACUAGCCCUACCAUCAAACAAUCUCUUACUCCAAAAGGCUAACAUUGCCAAAUAAAAAUCUCUAAGAUUAGAGACACCCAUACCCCCAUUUUUUUCUUGUAGAUUAAACCCCAACUAGCAAGAUGGUACUCAUAAUCAUUGCCCAAUUUGCCCCAGAAGAAAUGGGACAUUUGGGAAGUGAUGGCAUCAAUGGCCCACUUAGGAAACUUCAUGAUAGACAUCAGGUAAGUAGGAAUACUAGCAAUGCACAUGGUGAGGAGAAUAAGUUUACCCUAUAGGAAAGAUUCCUGCCCAACCAACCGAAGUUGUUUUCAAUAAUUAUGUCAAUAGUAGGUUGUAUGUCUUUCCUCUAAGUUUUCUAAAAUGCAGAGGCACACCCCAGUAUUUAAAAGGGAAGGAGCUAAAAAAUACACGCCUGGUGUCCGCUUCCUCCUCCCCUCCCCUCCCGGUCGCUCCCGCGAGCGACGCAGAGGGGAAACCCUAGCCGCCGGCCGCAGGCCCCCCUCCUCCUCGACUCCUCCCUCGCCGCCGCCGGCUCGCGCUGACGGGCGAAGCCCGGUCAGCCUCGGCGGCGGCGGGGCCUUCCUUCCCCUGCUCGCUAGGGCCGACGCGGGUCGGGGUCAGCGGGCGGCGGCGUUGCGCUGGCCGAGGGCGUGAUGACGCGGCGGCGGGCGGCGGUGGCGNNNNNNNNNNNNNNNNNNNNNNNNNNNNNNNNNNNNNNNNNNNNNNNNNNNNNNNNNNNNNNNNNNNNNNNNNNNNNNNNNNNNNNNNNNNNNNNNNNNNNNNNNNNNNNNNNNNNNNNNNNNNNNNNNNNNNNNNNNNNNNNNNNNNNNNNNNNNNNNNNNNNNNNNNNNNNNNNNNNNNNNNNNNNNNNNNNNNNNNNNNNNNNNNNNNNNNNNNNNNNNNNNNNNNNNNNNNNNNNNNNNNNNNNNNNNNNNNNNNNNNNNNNNNNNNNNNNNNNNNNNNNNNNNNNNNNNNNNNNNNNNNNNNNNNNNNNNNNNNNNNNNNNNNNNNNNNNNNNNNNNNNNNNNNNNNNNNNNNNNNNNNNNNNNNNNNNNNNNNNNNNNNNNNNNNNNNNNNNNNNNNNNNNNNNNNNNNNNNNNNNNNNNNNNNNNNNNNNNNNNNNNNNNNNNNNUGCCUGGCGGCGGCGAGAUGGGCUCGGUGGUGUUCUGCUCCGCGCGGUUGCGCCUGGCGUGGUGGCGGCGGCCACUGGUGGAGCGCGUCGGCCCCCUUCAGCGGGUGGCUGAUGCAGAUGCGGGGAGCGCCGCUCCUGGCCGUGUGGGCGGCGGAUCGGCGGCGAGCGUGGCUGGCUCCUGGGGCUUCCCUGUUUGCCCUUGGUGCAAAUCUGGCGAUGGUGCUUCCUCUCGGGGGGAUGGAUUGGGGGAAACCCUUGGCUGUUCGCUGCGGCCACGAUGCCGGCGGCGCUCCGGCGUCGUUCCCCUUCUUGAAGGCAGCUUCGCAAUCCCCCCCUCGCCCUCCCUUCCUCGUCCCGGGUGAAAGCCCCAAAUCUUCGGAUUGGGUGGUGACGGCGCUCCGGCGUCGUUUUUCUUCUUGAAGACACCACCUUGGAGCGGCGGAGUGGUGGUCGAGGCUUUGGCACGGGAGGUGGCUGCCGGAUAUCGCCAGUGGUGUCCAUGCUCGGCCACUUGCGGUUGAAGUUGGCGCCGGUGCGCGGCGUUGGCGAUGCUUGGUGGUGCGGCUGCCUGGUGCGGUAGUCGUGCUUGUCGCCCCCUCCCGGCAACCUGUUGGUCCUGGUCAUGCGAGCUCAGGGGUGAGCGACUCUGCCUGUCGACGGCGUAGUGUCCUCCGAUCCAGGACUAGAGGGCAGGGGGCUCUCUUCGAAGGUAGAGACGGAUGGCGGACCAGAUGGCUUGGCUCAAGAGGGAUGACGGAGCGUGACAAUCCUCCUGUAGCGGGAUCUACCUCGGCUUAGUCGCGGCGUGUGUUGGCUCCUGUUCGCCGAGGGCUUCGAUGUUCAAGCUUGUGCUUGGUGCAUUCGAAUCUUGUUAGUGGCUCCUUUGGUAUCUUGUAUCUUUGCCGUUUAUGGUUUUUUUAUUCCUUUCUUUUGUAUCGUUGAACUUGUGACUCGGUGGGUGCUUUAUAAUAUAAAGCGGGGGGAAACCCUUUUUCGGUUAAAGGGAAGGAGGCAAGUUUUUUUCCGAGAAAACAUCCAGUCCAUUCAUCAUCAAUCAUGAUAGUACAACGAAUAUCAGAAAUAAUAAAAAUUAUAUCUAGAUCCCUAGACCACCUAGCGGCGACUACAAGCACUGAAGCGAGCCGAAGGCGCGCCGCCGUCAUUGCCCAUCCCUUCCUGGAGCCGCGCAAAACUUGUUGUAAUAGACAAUCAGGAAGCCGUUGUGCUAAGGCCCUAUAGGACCAGCACAUCAGAACAACAAUCGUCGCCGUUGAAGGGAAAAUUAGAUCAAAAGGAUCCAACCCGUAGACACACGAACACACAUGAACAAAGACCGAGUCCAUUAGGAUCCACCGAAGACAAAUGCCGACCGAAUCCUGCAAGAUCCGCUGGAGCAAAACCUCCACACGCCCCCCGAUGACACUAGAAGCACCACCGAAAUGGGGCUAGAUGGGAAGAAUCUUAUUCCAUCAUCAGAGAGCUGCCGCCGCCUCAUCUCUCUGAGCAGAACACAAACUCUAAAAAAACUUAAAAAACAUAAAAAAACCGAAGCCCUCUCGCCGACAAGGGCCGAGAUCCACCAUACCUGCAUGGCCCAAAGACCACAGGAGACGAGGUAGGCCGGCAUCGGCGGGAGACCGGAUGAACCCUAGCGCAGCUGGCUACGAGGGGAGUUAGCCUUAGCGGCAAAUAUUUUUUCGCCGGGGAAGGAGCCAAGUUGACAACACAAAAUCUGAGCAAAGCAACUAGCUACAUCAUCAUCUACAUGAAUAGCGUGAGGGUCACUUUUGUGAAAAUUAAUUUUAAUCCCAGAGGAUUAAUUUUCGUCACAAUGCAUGUUUGAGAAUCAUUUCGUUCUAGUAAUGUGAAAUCAAGAGAGUGGCUAGCCAACGUCACAAACAAGCAUCCCCUAACCGAUGUUUACCUGCUGCCACCGUCACACGGCCGGCCUGCCCGCCGGCUUGAAAGUCCAGUUCCCUGAUCUCCGUACAGAAUCCCUCCUAUCCACCGGUGGACGGCCACGGGUGGACGCCGCGUCUGGGCUGGACGGUAGCGUCCGUCCGACAGAGGCGACCUGAACGGGUCAAGCCGUUCAUGCGCUGGGCGGGUCAAACCAUGCACGCUCGAGCCUAGACCGACUAGAGAGUAGUAGAGCCGAACGACAAGGACCCAUGCGAUUCCACGCCCGCCACCCUGGUACGUGGUCGUAUUCUCGAUCACGACGCCCUAAUCGCGCCACUAAACCGCGUGUUCGCCGGCAAGCCGACGGCGCGGGAGCGCGGGCAUAUAUAGUUCGUGCCCCGGCACCUUCUCCUCAGACAGUCCGUCAGUCAGUCAUCAGCCACUGACGAAGCCAUUUCCAAUCCUCUCGUGCGCAUCUUCCACGGGAGCAUCAGCAAAGCAAGAAUAAAGGCAGCUAGCAGGACGAACAACGGCAGCGGCUGAAGGAGGAGGAGGAGGGGCCGAUGGAGAUCGUGAGGAUGGGGAGCUCGGCGGGAGGCGGGAGCGGCGUGCGGCGGACGGCGUCGUCGUGGCGGGGGGCGUCGGGGAGGAGCGACGCCUUCGGGCGGUCGGCCAGGGAGGAGGACGACGAGGAGGCGCUGCGCUGGGCGGCCAUCGAGAAGCUCCCCACGUACGACCGCAUGCGCAAGGGCAUCCUGCUCCCGGGCGCCGUCGGCGCCGGGCAGGAGGUGGACAUCCAGGGGCUCGGCCUCAACGAGAGGAAGAACCUCAUCGAGCGCCUCAUACGCACCGCCGAGGAGGACAACGAGCGCUUCCUCCUCAAGCUCCGCGACCGGAUGGAGCGGUGCGUCUCACUUCAAUUCAUCACCUCACUUCUCUAGCUCUGUUCAUCCAUUUCUCCCUCGGCACGACAGGCGCUGAUGUUUCAUGUGCUUGGCAGGGUUGGCAUCGAGAACCCGACUAUCGAGGUGCGGUUCCAGAACCUCAACAUCGACGCCGAGGCCUACGUCGGCAACCGGGGAAUCCCGACGUUCAUCAACUUCUUCUCCAACAAAAUCAUGGUAUGCAUCUUUGCCACAGCAGCUUCAUGAUCCUUCUUCAGUCAUGGAAUGGGAAAACCGAACAAAGUUCACGCUGGGCGGUUCCGACUUCAGCUUCUGAUCCUUGUUUGUUUCAAUCCUUCAGAAUGUGCUGAGUGCUCUGCGCAUCGUGUCAAGCGGGAAGAGGCCCAUCUCUAUCAUCCAUGACAUCAGCGGAAUCGUAAGACCCGGCAGGUGAGCGAGAGAUCACGGACCUGUUUGUUUUGCAUCAUCUCACAGUUCUUUCCAUGUUUUAAUCUUGUGGAGUUCCUUCAGGAUGUCCUUGUUGCUUGGCCCCCCUGGGUCUGGAAAAACUAGUCUACUCCUGGCCCUGGCAGGGAAGCUCGACUCAACUCUCAAGGUACCACAUCUUCACAUCCUUUAGUGAUUUUGAGUACUCUGUUUUUUCGUUCGAUACAGAAAUUUGCAAUAUGGUCAGGGAAGAUAUAGAGAUGUAAGCUGUAACAUGAUGAAUUUAAAAUUGGAAAUGUUCAGGUGUCAGGGAGAGUGACUUACAACGGGCAUGACAUGCAUGAAUUUGUCCCCCAGAGGACAUCAGCGUACAUCGGGCAGCACGAUCUUCACAUCGGCGAAAUGACGGUGAGGGAGACGCUGGCCUUCUCUGCGAGAUGUCAAGGAGUCGGAACCCGUUACGGUAGGUGACAUGGGAGCUGGAAAAAGGGAUAUCUAGCUAUUCACAAAUUGUAAAGUGAUUCUUAUCGUGGUUUCAAAUUGCAGACAUGCUUACUGAACUCUCAAGAAGGGAGAAAGAAGCCAACAUCAAGCCAGAUCCUGACAUUGAUGUCUACAUGAAGGUGAGCUGUUAUUCCAUAUGGAUCAAAACCCCAGCUUAUUUAGAAGUAACAAUAUUUGCCUUUUUGAAGAGAAUCGAAAUAACUAGAAUUACUAAGUUAUUCUGCUCCUCUGUCCAAACAGGCCAUCUCUGUGGAAGGUCAAGAGAGUGUGAUCACAGAUUACAUCCUCAAAGUGAGCACCAUACAUAACAUGAAAAAUAAGCCAAACAAAUGCAUAUGCCCCUGACACACUUGCCUCCGUCGUGCAGAUUUUGGGUCUGGAAAUCUGUGCAGAUACAAUGGUCGGCGACGGUAUGAUCAGGGGCAUCUCAGGUGGACAAAAGAAGCGUGUCACCACAGGUAUAUGCAAUAUGCAGUGAAGGAAAUAAAUGUGCAUAAUGAUGCCCUUUUGAUUAUGACAGUGAAAUCAGAUCUCUAAAAUUAUUGAAUUUAAAUAGGCGAGAUGCUUGUUGGACCAGCAAAGGCACUGUUUAUGGAUGAAAUCUCCACCGGUCUGGACAGCUCCACAACAUACCAGAUCAUCAACUCCCUCAGGCAAUCUGUCCACAUCCUCGGUGGCACGGCGUUGAUCGCGUUGCUUCAGCCUGCGCCUGAAACAUACGAGCUCUUUGAUGACAUUGUUCUGCUCACCGAGGGGAAAAUCGUGUACCAGGGUCCUCGAGAAAGUGUCCUUGAGUUCUUUGAGGCCGUCGGAUUCAGAUGCCCUGAGAGGAAAGGCGUUGCAGACUUCUUGCAAGAAGUAUGUGAUACACAGGAGUUCUCUGUGCUGCAUUUUUUUUUUGAAAGAAACUCUCUAUGCUACAUGUUAGGACUAGGAACUCAAAUUUGACAUUUUCCAUUGUGAAUUCACAGGUAACAUCUAGGAAGGAUCAGCACCAGUACUGGUACCGAAAUGACGAGCCAUACCGAUACAUCUCGGUCAACGACUUCACGGAGGCAUUCAAAGCGUUCCAUGUUGGCCGCAAGAUGGGCUCGGAGCUCAGGGUGCCGUUCGAUCGAACCAGGAACCACCCUGCUGCGCUCACGACUUCCAAGUUCGGUAUCAGCAAGAUGGAGCUUCUUAAGGCAUGCGUCUCUAGGGAGUGGCUGCUGAUGAAGAGGAACUCGUUUGUUUACAUCUUUAAGAUAGUCCAGGUUUGCAUCCCGCUUGUUGAAAUCUUCCUCAAUUUUGAACUCGGAUAGUAAAGUCUGAUGAAUGUUACCCGUGUUUGUACCAGCUCAUAAUCCUUGGGACCAUCGCAAUGACUGUCUUCCUGCGUACGGAGAUGCACCGGGGCUCAGUCGAGGAUGGAGUGAUCUACAUGGGUGCGAUGUUCCUCGGCCUGGUCACGCAUUUGUUCAAUGGAUUCGCCGAGCUCGCCAUGAGCAUUGCAAAGCUGCCCAUAUUCUACAAGCAGAGGGACCUGCUCUUCUAUCCAUCAUGGGCGUAUGGAUUGCCUACAUGGCUUCUCAAGAUCCCGAUAUCAUUUCUGGAGUGUGCCGUGUGGAUCUGCAUGACUUACUAUGUCAUCGGCUUCGAUCCAAACAUCGAAAGGUUCUUCCGCCAUUACCUGCUGCUUGUGCUGAUCAGCCAGAUGGCAUCGGGUCUCUUCCGGGUUCUUGCUGCAUUAGGAAGGGAUAUGGUUGUUGCAGACACGUUCGGGUCAUUUGCUCAGCUUGUUCUUCUGGUUCUCGGUGGCUUCUUGAUAGCUAGAGGUAUGUCGAAUCUCCCUCCAUUCAGCAUCUGUUCAUGUAGUUUCAACUGUCAGGAACAUCAUGCCGAGUUCCAUUUCUGCAGAUAACAUCAAGGCAUGGUGGAUUUGGGGCUACUGGUGCUCCCCUCUGAUGUAUGCCCAGAACGCCAUAGCGGUGAACGAGUUCCUUGGGCAUAGCUGGAGGAUGGUAAUGCAGAGUUUCCUGGACCCUUGAUCAGUCGACUUUCAGACAGAUAAUUUAUAAAAAUGCCAAUCUUUGCACAGGUUGUUGAUCCGACAGACAGCAAUGACACGCUUGGCGUACAAGUCUUGAAGUCGCGCGGCAUCUUUGUCGACCCAAACUGGUACUGGAUUGGUGUUGGUGCCUUACUUGGGUACAUCAUGCUCUUCAAUGUACUCUUCAUUGUGUUCCUCGACUUGCUUGACCGUGAGUACCUUCUCACCAGCCGUAAAAUGCAUUGAUUCGCGCAUCGUUAACAUCUUACGUUGGCGCUCACAUCCUUCUUCUAUCCACAGCACUUGGAAAGGGCCAAAAUGUUGUUUCUGAAGAGGAACUGAUGGAGAAGCAUGUGAACCGCACCGGAGAAAAUGUAGAGUUGCUGCUUCUUGGAAACGAUACCCAGAAUUCACCUUCCAAUGGUCAGUAGAAAUUCUUGCAUAGACUGCAUCAAGGAACGCAUUUCCACCGCUGCAUCAUUGUGACAAGUGUAACAAAUGCAGGAGGAGGAGAAAUCACUGGCGCUGACACCAGGGAGAGGGGAAUGGCACUUCCAUUUACUCCCUUGUCAAUCACCUUCGACAAUAUCAGAUAUUCUGUAGACAUGCCUCAGGUAAGCAUAACCAAGAAGUUCUAUCCCGGGUUCAACGCAGCGGCAGCUGGUACUAAUGACAGAUACUAAUUGUGAUGCACAAAUCUUUGACAGGAAAUGAAAGACAAAGGUAUUACUGAAGACCGGCUAGUGCUCCUGAAAGGCGUAAGUGGAGCUUUCAGGCCAGGAGUUCUUACAGCAUUGAUGGGCGUCAGCGGGGCGGGAAAGACCACUCUGAUGGAUGUAUUGGCGGGACGGAAAACUGGCGGUUACAUUGAAGGAGACAUCAGCAUCUCUGGAUACCCGAAGAACCAAGAAACUUUUGCCCGGAUUGCUGGUUACUGUGAGCAGAAUGAUAUCCAUUCUCCACAUGUCACCGUUUAUGAAUCGCUCGUGUACUCGGCGUGGCUCCGAUUGUCCCCUGAUGUAGACUCAGAAGCAAGACAGGUAAGUUGAAUGACCUUUGUUCUGCUAGUUCAUAAGUAGCUCAUCGUAAAAUACACACUGCAACUGAUCUCUGGAGUACUGAACCGAUCCAUUUUAUGAAUUCAGAUGUUUGUGGAACAAGUCAUGGAACUCGUCGAGCUGACAUCACUGAGGGGAGCAUUGGUGGGACUGCCAGGAGUGAAUGGUUUAUCCACCGAACAGCGUAAAAGGCUCACCAUUGCUGUUGAGCUUGUUGCCAACCCCUCCAUCAUAUUCAUGGAUGAACCAACUUCUGGACUGGACGCAAGGGCAGCUGCCAUCGUGAUGAGGGCGGUCAGAAACACAGUAGACACAGGAAGAACAGUUGUCUGCACCAUCCACCAGCCCAGCAUCGACAUAUUUGAAGCUUUUGAUGAGGUAAAUUGCAGCAAGGACAAGGAAAUUGUGUGAUCUGUAGAAGUAUUGAUUGUCUCAUGUGAGAACUCACUUGUUAUUCUUGAAUAUUUACAGCUGUUCCUGAUGAAACGGGGAGGAGAAGAAAUUUAUGUCGGCCCCUUGGGACACAACUCAUGCCAUCUCAUCGAUUACUUUGAGGUGAGGCUCCUUACUGAUCUAUUGAACAGAGUGAUUUCCAAUUUAUGGCAUGCAUGAUGAACCUUGCCUGGUGCCCCAAAUGUAGGGCAUACAAGGUGUGAAGAAAAUCAAGGAUGGAUACAACCCUGCAACCUGGAUGUUAGAAGUGACCACCCUAGCUCAAGAAGAUGCCUUGGGUGUCAACUUUGCCGACGUAUACACGAAUUCUGACCUAUACCGGUAUGUUGCAGUCUCAGAACGUUGUUUCGUUUUUCUUCUUCUCUUGAUAGUGUUUCAGUUUGUUUAUAUACUUAUCUAUCAUUUCACUGAUUCAAAUGCAACAUGUCAGGAGGAACAAAGCUUUGAUAAGUGACCUAAGCACACCUCCACCUGGAUCGACGGACCUGUACUUCUCAAAACAGUACGCGCAGUCCUUCUUCACACAAUGUGUUGCUUGCCUGUGGAAGCAGCACAAGUCAUAUUGGAGAAAUCCAUCAUACACUGCAACUAGAAUCUUCUUCACGACGGUUAUUGCCCUCAUCUUUGGCACCAUCUUUUUGAACCUAGGACAGAAAGUGUAAGUACCUUCGCUAACAACUCCAGAUGAGACACUGAUACAUAAUGACACAGCGUGAGAAAGAAACUUAUUUGUAAUUCAUCUUUCCUUUCAGCGGCAAGAGACAAGACCUGUUCAAUUCUUUGGGUUCCAUGUAUGCAGCAGUUAUUUUCAUUGGAAUUCAGAAUGGCCAAUGCGUUCAACCUAUUGUCGACGUCGAGCGAACAGUUUUUUACCGAGAAAAGGCUGCUGGGAUGUACUCUGCUCUACCCUAUGCUUUUGCACAGGUAUUGCUCGUCGCAGAAGAUUUGAAAAGAAAAGAUUGCACUUUUCUUCCUUCAACAUUUUUUUUGAAAUAAAAUAUAAUGAUUUUAACCAUUCAACAGGUUUUCAUUGAGAUCCCACACGUCUUCCUGCAGACCAUUAUUUAUGGUCUGAUUGUUUACAGCUUGAUUGGCUUGGACUGGGCAUUUAUGAAAUUCUUUUGGUACAUGUUCUUCAUGUUCUUCACUUUCCUGUACUUCACAUUUUAUGGGAUGAUGGCAGUCGCCAUGACGCCAAACAGUGACAUUGCUGCCAUAGUGGCAACUGCAUUCUAUGCGGUAUGGAAUAUCUUUGCCGGCUUCCUAGUCCCCCGAUCAGUAAGUGUCCUAUGACUGGUUUAUUUGUAGUGAACCAACCUCUACAUUUUCUCCAUACUGUCGAUGCUAAACUAUAUGUGUCUUGUCUGGCUUGCAGAGGAUACCAAUAUGGUGGAGGUGGUACUCAUGGGCAUGCCCGGUGGCAUGGACACUCUAUGGGCUUGUUGCCUCACAAUAUGGAGACAUCGCAGACGUUAGGCUGGAGGAUGGGGAACAAGUGAACGCUUUCAUCCACAGAUUCUUUGGAUUCAGGCAUGAUUACGUAGGUUUUAUGGCUGUCGGUGUUGUAGGAUUCACUGUUCUCUUCGCUUUCGUUUUUGCCUUCUCUAUCAAAGUCUUGAACUUCCAAAGAAGAUAGAGAGGCUAUCUGAAAACUGCUUCAGAUCGCUAUAGCUAAUAGAGUGUUGGCACUUGGCAGUAGGGAACACAGGAAAGUAAGUUUAGAGGCACAAAUAUUUGGUAUCCGUUUCUCAGGUAAUUAACAUAUUUCUUAGAUCAGCAGUUCAAUUAUGUAUAUAUACUGUAUAUUGUAACUAUCAGAGAAGGGCCUGUUGUAAUUUUGUAAAAUUGCCAAAAGUUCAAAUAUUUUUAUGCAAGAUUGUCUAUCUUUGGUUCAGUUGAUACAUCAUACGACCAUAUAUGGCCGUAUGCAUCUUUCUGAUGCAGAGGCCGGGGCAAACCCCUUUUCGAAAAAAAAGUUGAUACAUCAUACAUGUUCCCUUCGAAAAGUCCAUUACCAACUAAAAUGGCCUAAAAGAUGACUUGGCUUGUAUAAUUCCGAAGAAUAUUGUGGGAAACUUAACAAAUUUCCAGUGACAACUAGCUUUGGAAACUGGGUAGUAUAAUCAAGAUUUGUGAAUGGUGAUGCGUUGUGUUUGUGUUCAGCAUACAAAUUACUCGUUCACAAGUACUCCCUCCGUAAACAAAUGUAAGACGUUUUGGCAGUUUAAAUAUCAUCGUAGCACUUAAAAAAUAGAGCCUUAAUGAAACUUAAAGAAGAAGAACUCGCAUUUCAACGACUAACAGGGUGCUGCUAUCUGGCUGAAUGUAUUCACAUUUUCAAUUGUCGAGGUUCUCAAAUUCAGUUACUAUCUUAUUUCAACAACUAACAGGGUGUAAAGCUAUUGUGUCUCAAAUUGUUUUGUUUAUAUUUCAUCAUAGCCCUAAGAAAUCGAAAUGGUAGCAUAAGACUAAUGCUUGUAGAAUCGAGACUAGCUAAUGAACUCUGAGAACAGGCAUCCACUAGUCCGCCAGAAUCUGCAGAUUUAAGUACGGACUACCUGAAGGAGUGUCGCGGUCCCCUGCAACCCAAUCGAUCCCACCGCCGAAUCAACAUCGAAUCCUCCUGCCUCCAUCACGGGCGCAGCAGCACCUCAACCUCGUCUGCUUCAGAGCAAAGCUCCCCCUUCCGGCCCUACCCGGCUCCCCCCCGCGGGCUCCGGCGGCCGCCGCUCCUAGUCCGCAGGGUGCCUUGGAAUCCGCGCGAGCCCCCGUGGGAGGUUUUUUUUUUUACAGCGCCAUUUCCUUUUGGGAUAAAUUGCAGUUUCGUUCCAGCCGGCUGAUAACUCGUUGACGUCGGACGCCUCGUUUGCCUUCCACGUGUCCCUUACACCGCACGAUUUGAAUCACUCUAAUACAGUGGCGGUGCUACUAGGAGUCAAAGCAAGUGAUGUCAAAGCUAUGUACAUGUGGAUAGCAUAUCAGGUGCUACCGACCUGCCCAUAUUACCAUGCCACGGAACAAUGGCACCUGUCAAAGCAUAAAUGAAGGGAUAUGAAUAGGAUGCAACGUCUGGUGUUCUUUUCUAUACAGCCCCUUAAAAGAUGCUCCACUUCUCAAAUUUUUUCUACUCUAUGGCAUGGAUACUAAGGACACUCAAAAAUUGGCCAAAAUUAGAUGAAAACAAAAAUAAUAAUCUAGAGGCAUCCCUACUAGCCCUGGACAAAACAGAUUCAGCAGCAAUAUCACAGUCCCCGCAUAGGCCCUCGUGGUCUAUCACCGCAUCGAGUGGAGCAACUGCAUGAUAUGUGAAUUUGAAAUCUAUGUUGCAUGCACGCCUUCAUUUGAGUAACAUGGACAUUCAGGAGCAAGAUUGAGAAACAAAAGGAGAAAUGAACACCAACUUGAACUAAAACAGAAAUAGAUAGCUCAAAUUGUACAUGUGCUUUUUGCGCACCGCACUUGAUUGGUCGCUCUUCCUCGUCUUCCAUGUUUCCAAAGGAAAGCGAUUUGAUAGAAGGGACUAGAAUGGGGAAGGACCUGGAAUGAGAAGAAGACCAAAUAUAAGAAUGCAAAUAUAAAUGUGCCACGGACUAGAACGUCCCUUCGAAAUAUUUCACUUUCUCAAGGUGGUUCCUAAACAUUAGAUAAGGGGUGCUUCCACACCAAUCUUGUUUGUCCGAUAUGAAUCCAUUGGUUGUCAUUGCACCGUAGCAUGGGAAACAUCCGUAUCACGGGAUAUGUUCCCUGUACACAUGCAUAUACGUAGGCAAACUAUUAUAAAACAUAGGUGUAUUAGUGCUGCUAAUCCAACUUUUGUGAUGUCACCUGACAUCAUAUACAACAUGUAGCACCGACACUAACUCUAAUGUACUGGCUCUUAACUAAACAUGUCAUAGAUAGUGGAUUUUUUUAGAUAAUUAUCAAAGUGCACUGUCUCUUACUUCUGUAUUACAUUUAAUCGGAUUAAGGAUUAUAUUUGCAUCUUAAUCUUGUGGCCUAGUGGUAGAAAGAAAGAAACAAGUGAAUAAUAGGAAGAUAAGCCAUAACAAAUUAAAUCAUUAAUUACACUGCACCCAAACGAGCUAAGGGUCGUAUAUCCAGUAACUUAUUCCCUGACUUCAUAAACUCAUCGAUCUUAUUUUUCAUCGCCUCAACCUCUCUUUAUCUCUUGAGCAUCUCCAUUGACACCUUCCUUCCAUGAAGCCAACCCAUCCUAGAUGAUGAGUGGGAGUUCUAGGUACUCUUUCCUCUCCAUCACCACCAUCUUCCUCACCGCCGUCCAUCUCGGAAGAAAAAUGUUCCAUGACUUCCCAUGCAUUGGAGGAGCGUCAUCAUUCCUCGAUUUCCACUUGUCGUUGCUUUCCAACACAUUCUAAUAAUGUUGAAGGCCAAAUAUUUAUCCUACAACUUGGCCAUUUACCGAUACCUAUGUUGGAUAAUCUCAUCCUACAACAUAUAAAUGUUCAAAGUGUUGCAAAUGUGAUGUUGAAAUACCUAUACGGUAUUUCCAUGUGUGUACAUUGUUGUAUUCAUCCUGGAAUUGAUGUAAGCCGGUUCAGGUUGUUGUACAAAUUGAUCCCAUCUCAAGUUAUCGUAGGGAUCAAGUCUCGCACAACUUGAACCGACCUCCGCAAAUCUCUCAUGUUAUAUACCAAUCCCUUGGGUUAGCAGGUCACGGAGUGCCUCACCCAGAUAAUUUCCUUCUCUGGAAAGCUCAGGUACCCCGUAGAUCAGAGGCACAAGGAUGUUUGGUUACCUUGACGGCACCACCGGAACGAGGUGGAGGUCCAGGAGCCGGAUAAAUCUGGCACAAAGAAGGUAUCAAAUCCGUUGCACGAAAUCUGGAUUUAUCAGGAUCCCUCUCCCGAGAGGUCCUCGCUCAAGUCUCCCAUAUCACCUUUUCUGCACCACUUUGGAAGCUCCUUACAGUGAUGCUUUCGUCUCAAUCUCGUGCCUGAGAAAUUCAACUUCGCACCUUGCUCGCAAAUACAAAGAAGGGGGGAUGACGUCGACUGCAUACUUCACCAAGAUGAAAAGAAUAGCAGAUGAGAUGGAAACCAUCGGGAACAAGGUGGAUGAAGAUGAUCUGAUCUCAGAAAUCCUUGUGGGGCUGGACAACAACUAUAAUCCUUCUGUCUUCUCCAUCUCUGCAAUGACUACUCGUGCAAAUUGUUGUCCUUGUCCCUUGGCAAUUUGUAUGGGAAACUUCUUGUAGAAAAAGGGCGCCCUGAAGCCUAAAAUUAGGCGGGCGAAUAAUCUGCCAAUCAUGCCAACAAAGGGGGGUGGGCGUCUACUUGGGUCCACACUGGAACAAUGGCAACAACUAUGAUGAUCGUGAUGGUGGUACCAGUAGCAGCUACCAAUCCAAAAUGAAGCAAGGCAACAACGGUUCCUAUCCUAGCGGUGGUCAUCCUGGUGGUGGCUACGAGGGUGGGAGCGGCUAUCAUAUUGUAGGCGAAUGUCAAGGCAACAACGGGGGUGAUACUAAAGAGAAGUGCCAGAUUUGUCGCAAAGAAGGUCACAAAGCGUACCACUGUUGGAAAAGGCAUGAUAAGCUCUUUCUAACACCAUCAGUAACCUCGAAGAAGACGACGGACGCAGUGGCAAAAUCCGAUGUUGUGGAUACUAAUUGGUAUGCCGACACCGGGGCAACCGACAACAUCGACGGUGAACAAAGCUAGCUCAUAGUACAUGAUCGCUACAUCGACAAUGAUCAAGUCCAUGCGGUUAACGGAGCAGGUAUGGAAAUAUCACAUGUUGGCUAAACACAUUUUUCUACGCAGGAUCGUCCUUUAUAUCUCAAUAAUGUCUUACAUGUUUCAUCCACAUCCAAAAAAAAAA